AUUGAACGCUGGCGGCAGGCCUAACACAUGCAAGUCGAACGAUUGUCGGCCGGGUGAGUAAUUUCUGGGAAACUGCCCGAUGGAGGGGGAUAACUAAUGGAAACGGUAGCUAAUCCCGCAUACCAUCUGAUGUGCCCGGAUGGGAUUAUCUAGUAUGUGGGGUAACGGCUCACCUAGGCGACGCUCCCUAGCUGGUCUGAGAGGAUGACCAGCCACACUGGAACUGAGACACGGUCCAGACUCCUACGGGAGGAAGCAGUGGGGAAUAUUGCACAAUGGGCGCAAGCCUGAUGCAGCCAUGCCGCGUGUAUGAAGAAGGCCUUCGGGUUGUAAAGUACUUUCAGCGAGGAGGCGUUACUCGCAGAAGAAGCACCGGCUAACUCCGUGCCAGCAGCCGCGGUAAUUC
This 406-nucleotide ribosomal RNA is filed under the name uncultured bacterium. Its description in RNAcentral is "partial 16S ribosomal RNA". It matches the Rfam family "Bacterial small subunit ribosomal RNA", at positions 30 to 526 of the family's 1533-position model. The record is from RNAcentral.